RNAcentral lists this long non-coding RNA (6173 nucleotides) under Nicotiana tabacum (common tobacco). RNAcentral describes it as "long non-coding RNA (NTAB_LNC001172)". The record is from RNAcentral. Lineage: Eukaryota; Viridiplantae; Streptophyta; Magnoliopsida; Solanales; Solanaceae.
ACAACACCAACUUUCGUUUUUAUAAGAGCUUCAUUUUCUGAUUACCAAAAUAUUACACAUUUAUGGUAUUGAAGUGGAACAUUCGACAAAUACAACAAAAUCAUUAGUUUGUGAUCUCAAGUCAAAACACAACCCAGAAUACGUCUACGGAACCUCUAAGUGAAAAUGGUACAAUAUGGGAAUGCCGACAACUAGGCCCUGGCUAUUUCUCAAAACACAAUUUGCAAAAUAAAAGGACAUAAGGCCCUGAAGUAGAAUAAGGCUCACCAAAUCAGCUGAGAAGAGGGUACACCUAUCAAGAACCUAAGCCACCAAUUACGGAACCACCUGCAUCCAUUAAAGAUGUAGCGCCCCCGACAAAAGGGAUAUUAGUAUAUAUGGAAUAGUACUAGUAUGUAAAGAUAAUUACCCUCAUAUAAAAUGGAACAAGAAACAUAAGUUGGGAAAACAUGAAAGAGUAGCAAAUGAAUACAAGUGUAAAUGGAUACAAGUGUGUCGUAAUAUAAAACACAGUGUGAGUGAAACCUUCAAACAUACCUUUUGAAUUUAGUUUGGGAAAUCAUUAGCUACCAACACAAACUAUCAUGCUCAUGGCAUGGAGUCUGAUCAUCGCUCGACCGACUAAGUCAUCUCACCAUGAUGUAUAUAUGGAUCAACAUGGUAAGGUGAAUCCAAUAUAAUAUCAAGAAUGACUACCCACCAAGCUCAUGGCAUGGAGUCUGAUCACCCCUAGACCGACUAAUCCAUCACACCCAGAUCCAUAAGGGUUGACAUAACAACACAAUACCAUUAUAUACGCGGCAUAGCAUCCGAUCAUUGCUUGAUCGACUAAGACAUCUCACCACGAUGUUGUGUGGAUCAACAUGGGAGCUUAGACUGAUGCUAGUAAUAAAUUCAUCCCAAUUAAGGGGAAUAAUCUCAACACAAUAUUACAGGGAAUUACCCCUCAAUCAAUUCCUACACUGGCAUUUCAGUUGUAGGCCUAUAUAACCUAUACCUUCUCGGUUAUGUAAUGAUACUCUCAAAAACAAUAUUAUAUAAAUAAAAUACUCAUCUCAUAUCCCUUUAGAAAGUCCUUUCAUUUCCUUCGUACUUUUGGCCACACAUUUAACAUGAUGGCCGCAUUUUAUAUUCCAUACUUUCAUUCUUUUACUUUUGAGGAUCGCUAUAAAAUACCAAUACGUAGAACAUUUGGAAAUCAUUGCUUCAAAAGUAUGCGUAAAAAUAGCCUUAAGCGGAAUGAAUUUCUCCCAAAAGGAGAGCAUAGUUAUUUGCAAUUGAAGCAUGGGUUUAAAUCAUAUCAUUUGAUGUGUCAAUCAUGCUUGAAACAUUUUUAGUAAGAAUAGAAUGGCAAUAGAAAAUAGGGAAUGUGUAGAUCUUUAUGAGCAUUUAGUAAUUCAAUCUUUUUAAUGCACCUCAGUCAUGAUGAUUCAUGGUAUAAAAAUCAUUACUUCAUUUUCAUGUGCAUAUGACUAUCAAAAGAAAUUGCUAAACAUUUCCAAGGAAGGGAGCAUGGCAUUGGCUAUCAAGACAUAUACAGAAAUCUCAUGAACACUUGGAAUACAACCAUCGGAAGCAAUCCGUAAUAAUGGAAAUAGGAACUAGGACAACCAUGCUUGGAAUUCAUGCGGGAAUCAGGGAAUCUGAUUCUAUAGAAAGAGUUUAGGCAGCAUACAUUGAUGGAGCUCUUUAGUGAUACUAAGACCACCCACUACUCUUACAACUUAAAUAUACAUCAACAUAAUUCAAUUGGACCGAUUUUAGUAAAAAUUUCUAGGUUUUAGGUUAUUUUGGCAUUUUAUCAAACACCUAGAAUGCAUAGCAUUGUACUACCCCUAGUAAUGGUGUUUCUUCAUCCAACAAUCCCUCCUUCCCACCAACAAGAGAUACUACAACAUCCUCUGUUCACCAACUAGCUUAUUUAGCACCAUUAUAAUCAACAAUGAACUCACAUCCACCAAAUUUUACUAAUUAACUCAUUACAAAAUUUCUACAACAUCCAAUUAUCUAGGUUAAGCCCUUGUGGCUUCCAAUCACCAGCCCAUAAGUGCUAAUACUUAUUUCUUGCUCAUAAUUCAUUAAAUAUUCAUGCAUGUAGGUUUAAGGGUAAAAUAUUACCUCUUGUAGAUCAAAUCUUGAAAGCCAACUUUUGGGGUGUUCUUGAGAUUUUGAAGAAAUCCUAUAGAAUUCAACAAAAAACCUUGUUGUAACUAGUGAUUGAGAAGUGAAAUCAUCAUAAAAACACACUUAAAAACUCACCUUAACUGUGCAUUGCUGCAUAUGGCGGGAGCUAGCAUUGAAUAUGUACUCGUUGUCCUGACAUGGCUACCACUUGUUCUUGGUAGUUUUAGAUUUGAGUUCUAUUUUUGUAUUUUCAAAUAGAUGUGAUAAUUAUGCUUCAUACCAGCUUUGUAAAUUCUAAGUCUUAGAAGCUCAUGAUCUGUAUUACAAAUCCUUGUAAUUUAAAGUUUAGUUAUUUUAUUCUUUGGCUCCUAUGUUUCUUAUUUGAGGUGUGUAUAAUUGGCUUACCUAGCAGGUUGGGUUAAGUGCCAUCACAGCUAACCAGAUUGUGGGUUGUGUCAUAUGUCUUGUUGACGAGUUCAGAAUCUGGAAGGUUUAGUGAUUGCAUAGUAGUGUGGCCAUGAAAGGGCAUAGAGAGAUGCUAGUUUGAGACCAAUCAGGUUGGUUAUCUCCUACGGGAUGUUCUGAGGUUGUCUUAUUCUUAUGAUAAUUAUAUGGAGAUUUUCUUUCUAUUGGUGGGUUACAAGUGUUGCAAUUUGAGUUUGGAUCACUUGAGGAAAUUGGUUUGACUAUCAUGACGAUGAAUGUGAGCUUAGCAGAUGAAUUGAGGUAUUUUACGAUUUGUGUUACAUCAAAUUAUGAAGGAUUUAGUUGAAUUACAGUGCGAGAUUAUGGCAGUUAUAGAGUAAGGGUAUUGUGGGUUAUCAAAUAUUUUGUUCUACGGCUUCGAACCAAGUGGGGGAGUCCACUUUCGAUGAUUUGAUUGCAUGGUUAUGUGUUAUAGUAAUUUUGGUCUGAGGCAUACUUGUGAAUUGGUUAUGACUUGAAGACGUUGAUUUCGAGGAUGACUCGAGUAAGGAAAAUUCUAGAUGCAUGAUGUGUUACACUUUAUGGAUAUAUGGAAAUCUUGAAAUGAUUUGAGUUUGUUAUUUCUGAUGGAUGUAAUAUGUUAAUAAAAGGGAGCCACUAGAUUGCGUUAAGGUGAGGAUUACUUAUUUAGGUUUUGGCGUGCUAACGGAGCACAUAUCAUUCGGCUCGUUUUGGUGGUGCAUUAGAGAUUAGUGUAGAGUGGAUAACUCUCGAGAAAGUUCUAAUGGGUUCAUGAUUCAUAUGUGGUAUAUGAGGAAUUUAUGGAUUUGUAAAGGAUUAGAUAUAAUAUUUGUUUUGGAUGGUGUCAGGACCCGCGGUAUGUCCUUAUCACUAUGGAUCCCACAUUUCAGUAUCAGAGAGGUUAAAAAACAACUUUAGAUUUGCGGAAGGUCUUUUUAGGGUGUGUAUCUUGGUUGCGGUAUUCUUUGGCGUCUAAGGUGGAAUAUACUGGCUUAUGGAUCUUGAGACAACGUGAUAUCAUGCUAGGAUAACUAGUAGUGAACUUUGGAUUAUGAAUCGAAGUAUACUAGCAAGGAGAAGUGUUAACUUAAUGGCAAGUCGAGGGGACUCGAAGAAAUAGGACAGUUUGGUGGUAGAUCAGAUCAGUAUUGUGAUAGAAAUGAUCAAUUCUUUUGGUUCUUAUGAUAUGGUGAGGCUUUAUCGGUGUUUUGUUGCAUUACUCUUGGGGGUGGCGACUUGCGUGACUUAGCUGAGUUAGAAGGAUUCAGUUCUGAUGGAUUGGUUAUGUGAAAACAAGUUUCGAAGAGUUCUCGUUGGUGUCGACCAAGGUUUGGGGCAAAUGUAUUUGACAGGGAUGAUGAGUAUAUUGGAUGUUGUAAUUUUUCUCUCAGAUGUGGGGCCUAGUGGUAAAUUUCUAGCUGAUUGAGUAUGUAUCCUGCAUGUGAAUUAGAGUUGAUUAUGGGAUUCUUGUGUUUUCAUAUGAUGGAAUGAUAGAUGAGGUGUGCAUCGUAUGAGAUUGAGGUUUGUAUGUACAAUGUUGCGGUUCAACUUUGAAGGGAAAUCCAUGAAUUUUAGAUAACACAAACAGUUUUAGAUGUUAAGAAGAAUGUUAGUACUAAUUGGUAUCACCUAAGGAGGGUGCGCAUUUUAGUGGACGUAUCGUGUUGGGCUUGCAGAUGCUUGACUAGUAUUACGGUAAUCACCUGGUUUCUCAACUAUAGAUGUUCAGAUUUUGCUAUAUGGCACGGAAGAAUUAUGGAUGUAUUUCUCGCAGGAUGAUUGAGUAUGAGAGAUGAGUUAGUCAUUCGAGUGGUGGAGAUGGGAUCGAAUAUGGUAAUUCUUGUAUUCUAGGGAUUUGGAGACUUGGAGGGUUCUCAGAGGCAGAUUAUUCUUUGGUUGUGAACCGUGAAGGUAUGGCAAAAGUUAGACAACUAGUAGUAUGUGUAAUGGUUAGGUUAUUAUGGACUUUUGAAGGAUUAUUUAUUUAUUUAUGGAUGGUCAGAGUUGAUUUGGGGGCCCAUUAGUAGGCCUAACGAGGAUGUGCAUUCUACAUCGGGUCGAAUUUAUUGACUCAUCAAUUCUAUUUUUGAGUGGUGUGUCAUUCAAUUAGAGUUGAGCUUGUUCAUGUAUUGAUAUGUUCUAUGUAUCACUCUUCUAUGCUAUGAUGGGUUGUGAUCUGUUGGGUAUUUGCACACAUGAUACAUUUCUGUUUGAGCCUUAUGGCAAAAUUCGAGCGAGAUGGUUCUUAAAGUGUUGAAUGGUUGAUUGCGCUUUUGCUAUGGCCUUCGUGCUUGUGGUAUAUUGUUCUAUCUAUUUCUCCAUGAAUAUGAUAAUGAACUUCAUGUGUUUGUUGUUGAUUUUCGUAUGGUUAUUGAUUUUGGGCAUUAUAGCUUGAGGUAUUUCAUGUGGAUUGGUGUUUGGAUAUGGUCACAAGUGCAGCAAAGUUACAUUGGGAUAUGUUCCUUUGUGUUAGAUCCAUGUGUCUUGGUUCUAUUAUGUGUGAUGGGUUCAUAGCAUUACGUUUGUGGUAAUAUAUGUUGAGGUUGCGGGACGGUCCUCUCAUUUGAUUUUCUUUCCAACAUUCGAGUUGUUGCUUGUUUGGAUGUAAGGAUCGCGUGGCAUAUGGCUAUAGAUGGUAUUUGUGUGGCAUGUCAGUUGAGUAUCUUUUACUUGAUAAGAUGAGGUCAUUGGACCUGGAAUGAGUACUAUCGGAUUUGAUUACGGUAUGUUUGGAAGAAUAAUGUUAGUUGUCAGCUUAGAAUUUGGCUAUGGUUCUUGUUGGGCGAGAGAGCUCCAGAACUUGUUGGACUGAUGAGUGGUUAUGAGUAUCUAUGUGUUCCCUUCAUCAUUGGUAGUGUACAAAGGUUCAUAAUAAGUUUUCAAUUGUUAGGAGGAUUAUUAUCGGUACCGGGCUUGUUAAUGGACAGUUAUUAUGCUCGGAAGUUAUUGCUAUGGGUAUAUGGGUUAUGUGGUAUAUCAUGUGAUUAUAUCUUGGGUUAUGAUUAUGUCUUGGUACAGCUUGUUCAGACUUGCGCAGUGUUUGGAUGUGAGAAUUGGGUCUUUAAUGUAUUCCGGAUGUUGGAGAUUUGAUUCUAAGGUUAUGGGCUAAGGUUGAAGUGAGGAUCCUUGUCACACCUCCUUUUUCUACCCCGGAAAGGGGUAUAAAGGAGUUUUUCCAAUUAAAGUGACAAUAAUCGAAAUGGGAUUAUUUAUUAAAAUUCAGAGUCUCCACUUGGGGUAAUUUAUGGUGUCCCAAGUCACCGGUUUAAAAUCCCGAAUCGAGUAAGUUUGACUCUGUUUUACAGUCCGCGAAACAUAGAAAUUCGGGUAAAGAACUCUGUUAACCCGAGAGAAGGUAUUAGGCAUUUUCGGGUUCUGUGGUUUUAGCAUGGUCGUCAACUAUUAUUAAUUGGUUUAAUUAUCUGAUUAAUUACACGUUUAAAACCUAUUGUGUAUUUUUAACCUUUUAAAACCGCUUUUAGUUAUUUAAGGAAUUUGUCAGAACAAGUCGCGAUGUCGCGCACUCGUUUAUUUUGUACACAUUGUAAAUUGCGUUACGGGAACCGUACCCACGAUCUACAACGUAUUUAAUUGUGGAAGGG